Molecule: long non-coding RNA, 3159 nt
Organism: Pan troglodytes (chimpanzee)
Lineage: Eukaryota; Metazoa; Chordata; Mammalia; Primates; Hominidae
Exons: 5
Source: RefSeq, a predicted model, not a curated record
UGGAGUUCUGUGGCCAGAGACAAGGACGCGGGUGGGAGUCGGGGGGUGAGGAGGCCAUGGGGAGAGAGGGGACGUGAUGGAAAGAAGAGGGGGAGGAUAAGAGAGUGUAGGAGGAGGAGGGAGAUAGGGAUGAAGAUGAGGUAAGGGGGUUGGGAGAGGGAGGGGACAGGUGUAAGUACCGGGUUGGACAAACCCAGAGUACCCACCCUCUGCCCCAGAACUGCACCCCCAUCCCUCCCCACUCCCACACACAGACUGCCCGGAGGGUGGGGCCACAGCUUUGGGCCUAGCCUUUCCCUGGGGGCAUGGCCAACCCUGUGGGCUACUCUGAGCCUGCGGGGGGCCUGCAGCAGGGAGCAGGACCCCGUCUCCCCAGCUCAGCCAAGCCCCACGCGGGGCUAACCAGGCUGCCAGGGCCCCCAGCAGAUUACGUAAGGGCUUAUGCCGCCGCGGCUCAUUUGUCCGCCCCCCUCCCUCCCCAGCCUGGCGUGGCGCCAGGAGCCCGAAAACCCAGGGCUCCAGAAAUCAAUCUCGCGGUGACUGAUUAAGCCCUGUUUAGAACUAAUUGCUCUUUCGUGUGUGGGGAGAAUAAAUUACCUGCUUUAAUUUCGUGUCUUUAAAAUGCAACUGCAGGUAGAGAAGACUGUUAACCCUUUGCUGGGAGGGCCUGGCCAGGGGAAACAGAGUAGGCUGGGGGUCCCCAAGGUGGGUCCAGGCCUGAGACUUUUCGGAGGUAUCACCCCAACUCCUCUUAGCUGCUGUGAACUCCACAGAGGGUUUGGAUUCCAGCAGGCCCCUCAAAAGACAUCCUUUUGCCACAGAGACCUCAGCCUUCACCCUCUUCAGUGCCCACCUUCAGGCCAGCCCAGCUCUCCUGCCUGCCCUUUGGGCUGCACCCUGCCCUCCUCUCCUGACCCACCUGCCUGCCCUCCAAGCCCCUUCCUGUUGGAGCCUUCUCAAAAUCCCCACAGUGUGUGGCAAAGUCCCCAUUCACACGCCAGAAGACCUAGGCUCAGAGAGAGGAAUGGCUUGCCCAAGGUGGCCUUUUCUGCUGUCCCUCGGUUCCUCCCUGGGCUUCACCUCUGCCAUCUCUCCAUACAUCCUCUUUUUAAUUCUGCUGUGCCAGUCUCCAGUGCUCCCCAUGUCACUGCCUGCUUUUGCCAGGCCUGUUCUGAGGACAGAGGAAGGCAGGAAGUCCACUGGCCCCACUGGAAUCUGGAGUAGAACUUCUGCUGGGCCUGCCGCACCCCACCUCUGGGGCCUCCCACCUGGUGGCCUCAACUUCCUGGUCCAGGGUUUCACUCUAGCCCAGACUGGAGUACAGUGGCACGAUCUCGGCUCACUGCAACCUCCACCUCCCAGGCUCAAGUGAUUCUCCUGCCUCAGCCUCCCAAGUAGCUGGAAUUACAGCAGGACACCCUCAUUUAUCCUCUGAGUCGGACACUCUCCUUCCUCCUGUGGUGUGGCUGUGUUCUCUGACGGAGCAAAAGCCGACUGAUCCAGCAGGACGCCAUCUCUACUACAACUUCAUUCUCCGACAGCUCAACCUCAUCUAAUCUUAUGCCUCCAGCCAGGGCCUGCCAGAUCUCCGGGAGCCAAAGGAGAGUGUAGAGAAAAGAGAGGUCCCUCAUUUGCUGUCCCCCACCCACAAGGGCUGCCUGGUGCUAUAACCAUCCAAUUUCUCCAGGCCCAGAAGGGGCCAUGGACUUUGAGUUCUAGGCUGCUUGGCCAAGCCAGAACUCCACUAUUGCCCUGCCUCCUGUUCUGUCCCCACCAUGGCUACAGAGGGCCCACAGGAUGGAUUCUGGGACAUGGACUCAUGGUUGCUGUACCAUCUUCUUAUUUAUUUUUAGCCAGAGAGGAGGAUUUCUUAUGUUGCCCACGUUGGUCUCAAACUCCUGACCUCAAGUGAUCUUCCUGCCUCAGCCUCCCAAAGUGCUGGGAUUACAGGUGUGAGCCAACUUGCCUGGCCAUCUCUGUGCCAUCUUCUUCUGAUCCUGGGCAGUGGGACUAGGGGAAGUUACCUUUUCUGGGGCACAUUUAGUGGUGUGCUGGCAAAUGUUUAACCACCAGCUCUUCUGGAAGUUAAAAAAAAAAACCUACCUGAUUUGAUUUGUAGCUGUUGCUGCUUUCUGUGGUAUGGAUACUCACAUCAUAGCCAAUUUUAAACUGCCACAUGACGUCACCGAGUGCAGAAUUGGGAAGAAGUGUGCACGAUCAGCCCUCAUGAGCCAGUGCAAACCAGCUCUCGCACACCACUGGCAUGUGCUUCAAAUGCUGAAACCAGAGAAGGGCACCACCUACUACAUGCCUAACAUAGGCUAGGCUCCUUUAAUCCUGAUAACCAUCCUGUGAGUAGGUACUGCGAUUUUACAAAGGGGGCAAACUGAAGCUCAGGUGGGAUAAAUGACUCCUGAGGCCACAAAGCUGGGAAAUGACGGAGCCAGGCUUGGGUCUUAGGGCUGCUGGAUUCCAAAGCCAGAGCUCUUCCCACACCUACCCCUAAUGUGGCAGGGGACACUCUGCUGUCCACCCCAGUGGCCAUCUCCACCUUGAUGCUCAAGCCCAAGCUCUCCUAGCUUUCAUCAGAGACAGGAGACAAGGACUGUGCCCCCACCUACCACCAACCCUGUGCUACCUCCUGGCCUCCCUGGUACCUGGGGUCUUUCAGGAUCCAAGUGCGGCCCUGCAUCUUGUGUCCACCCAUCGCAGCCCAAGCCCAAGGUCAGGUGUGGAUGCCUGUCCAGGUUGCAUCACAGUCAAAGGCUCAGCCCAGCCCCUCCCUCAGGAGACUGACCCUGACUACCUGAUGGGGAAAAUGACCCAGCACCUGUUACUGCAGUGACCUCCUGUGGGGCUGUGGUGAGGGCUCUGAUCCCCUCUAUGAUUCCCAUUUCCUCCUUCCCUCCUGGCCUUCCUUCCUGCAUACGGAGAGGUCAAAGACAGGGGACUGAAUCCCAACUUCAUCCAUGUGACAGUGGGCCUCCACUAUAACGAAGAUAACAAUCCCAGCAUCCACAGGGACAUAUGGGACCUGGAUGAGACCUCACAUGUCAAGAAUGUCAUCUCAUCCCUGUCUCAGAGCCCCAGGAGCCUCCCCAUCCUACCCCUUGCCCCCACCCAACUCUGGGGCCCCAGCCUGGCCUAGGAACACACACC